Molecule: long non-coding RNA, 1064 nt
Filed under: Canis lupus familiaris (dog)
Lineage: Eukaryota; Metazoa; Chordata; Mammalia; Carnivora; Canidae
Description: lncRNA (ENSCAFG00845013002.1)
Source: RNAcentral
GAGCGAGGCGGCGCGAGCGGGUCUCGGGGUCCGCGGUCGGGGUGGCGGGGUUGCCGGGCCUCCUCCGUCCCGGGAACGGGGCCUUUGGAAGCCGUCCGACCCGAGGCCGGCAAGGACCGGAGGCCGAGGGAGCCCUGCCUGCCCGAGUGCAGCCCGCGGGGGCGGCUUUCUGGGCGCGCCUCCUGACGCGGGCGGGGAGUAGUGUUGCCUGGCGAGUGUGGACGCGACGUGGGCAGCGCGUGGUCGCCGGUGCAGUCGGGCGGUCCCUUCAGGCGGACGGCGGGGAGACUGAAACAAACUGACAAUACUUAAGGACUGGGAGCUAGCAAUACGGUUCUGGAGAAGAUGAAGACCACAUUGUCGCACAAACUUGAAGUCUGGAACCGAAGGCCAAGGAGUUCUUGAAACAUCUUUGGUGCAAAAAGGUAGUUUUAUGAAAGCUUGGGCACAGGACCUGUGGGCAGAGAGAGCUGCUGGGGUCAUAAGGGGUGGCCCGUUACAUACUUUAAGGUCAGGAGGGAGUUAGGGAGGGGGUGAGUCUCUAAGGAGUUUGGAAGCAGGGUUCCCAGGACCUGAGGGGGCUAGCUGUUUAUUACCGUCUAAUAAAACCUGAGUCGUGAGACCCUUCAGAUGAGUAUCAGCAGGUCAUGUGGUUGGGAGAUGAUUGCCAACAUGUAUCCUGAGGUUUAGAGAUAAAGCUACCAAAAAUUUUUAUAUGUUCAAGUAGACUCACAGGAUCCGGGAGGAUAAAGCUAGGAUUGUCUCUUGCCCUUAGCCAAUUAUUUAUUUGGUAAGAUUUUAUUUAUUUGUGAGAGACACAGAAAGGCAGAGACAUAGGCAGAAGGAGCAGCAGGCUCCCUGCGAGGAGCUCGAUGUGGGACUCGAUCCCAGGACCCCAGGAUCACAACCUGAGCCAAAGCCAGAUGCUUAACCACUGAGCCACCCAAGUGCCCUGCUCUUAGCCAAGUAUUAAUCAAGGCAGCUGAGGCAGGAAGGUCACCCUGCCUGUUUCAAGGACUUGUCAGUGGGCUGUGGGCAGUAAGGAAACUUAAUUUUUUCUUUUG